AUUUCAAUGGCUCAGCGGGUAAAGAAUCUGCCUGCAAUGCAGGAGAUGCAGGUUUGAUCUCUGGUUGGAAAUA
This 73-nucleotide transfer RNA is filed under the name Capra hircus (goat). It matches the Rfam family "tRNA". Rfam says of the family: Transfer RNA (tRNA) molecules are approximately 80 nucleotides in length. Their secondary structure includes four short double-helical elements and three loops (D, anti-codon, and T loops). RNAcentral also lists the same sequence under 1 other name. The record is from Rfam by way of RNAcentral. Lineage: Eukaryota; Metazoa; Chordata; Mammalia; Artiodactyla; Bovidae.